This 1238-nucleotide ribosomal RNA is filed under the name metagenome. RNAcentral describes it as "bacterial LSU rRNA". It matches the Rfam family "Bacterial large subunit ribosomal RNA", at positions 1564 to 2810 of the family's 2925-position model. The record is from RNAcentral.
CGAAUACGAGACGCUACGGCGUCGAAGUAGUGUAUGUCACACUUCCAAGAAAAGCUUGCACUGUCAUAAAUAAAAGAUGCCUGUACCAUAAUCGACACAGGUGGGUAGGUAGAGUAUACUAAGGGGCGCGAGAUAACUCUCUCUAAGGAACUCGGCAAAAUAACUCCGUAACUUCGGGAGAAGGAGUGCCUUUUUUACAUAAGGUUGCGAUAACAAGAUCCAAGCAACUGUUUACCAAAAACACAGGUCUCCGCUAAGUCGUAAGACGAUGUAUGGGGGCUGACGCCUGCCCAGUGCCAGAAGGUUAAAGAAGUUGGUUAGCAUCUGCGAAGCUGAUAACUGAAGCCCUGGUGAACGGCGGCCGUAACAAUAACGGUCCUAAGGUAGCGAAAUUCCUUGUCGGGUAAGUUCCGACCCGCACGAAAGGCGUAAUGAUUUGGAUACUGUCUCGGAGAGGGGCUCGGUGAAAUAGACUUGUCUGUGAAGAUGCGGACUACCUGCACCUGGACAGAAAGACCCUAUGAAGCUUUACUGUAACUUGAAAUUGAAAUUGGACUUUAUUCGCGCAGCAUAGGUGGGAGGCUUUGAAGAUACUCUUGCGGGAGUAUUCGAGCUAUCAGUGAGAUACCACUCUUAUAAUGUUAGAUUUCUAACUUUGAACCAUUAUCUGGUCAAAGAACAGUUUCAGGCGGGCAGUUUGACUGGGGCGGUCGCCUCCUAAACGGUAACGGAGGCGUACAAAGGUUUCCUCUGAACGGAUAGAAAUCGUAUCUAGAGUAUAAAGGCAUAAGGAAGCUUGACUGUGAGACCUACAAGUCGAGCAGGGACAAAAGUCGGUCUUAGUGAUCUGACGGUACUGAGUGGAAAGGCCGUCACUCAACGGAUAAAAGUUACUCUAGGAUAACAGGCUGAUCUCCCCCAAGAGUUCACAUCGACGGGGAGGUUUGGCACCUUGAUGUCGGCUCAUCGCAUCCUGGGGCGGUAGUACGUCCCAAGGGUUGGGCUGUUCGCCCAUGAAAGCGGUACGCGAGCUGGGUUCAGAACGUCGUGAGACAGUUCGGUCCAUAUCCGGUGUAGGCGUUAGAAUAUUGAGAGGAGCCUUCUCUAGUACGAGAGGACCGAGAAGGACAUACCUCUGGUGUACCAGUUAUCGUGCCAACGGUAAACGCUGGGUAGCUAUGUAUGGAGUGGAUAACCGCUGAAAGCAUCUAAGUGGGAAGCCCACCUCAAGAUAAGUA